This 231-nucleotide long non-coding RNA is filed under the name Hordeum vulgare. RNAcentral describes it as "long non-coding RNA (HVUL_LNC011298)". Lineage: Eukaryota; Viridiplantae; Streptophyta; Magnoliopsida; Poales; Poaceae. The record is from RNAcentral.
CGCGAUCGUCUUGACCCGGAUCCCUAGGGCGGGUCUCAAGACGGGAUAAUAUCCCCAACAUUAGGCCCUGAUGACCCACAAGUAUAGGAGAUCUAUCGUAGUCCUUUCGAUAAUUAAGAGUGUCGAACCCAACGAGGACCACAAGGAUCUGACAAGUGGUUUUCAGCAAGGUAAUAUCUGCAAGCACUGAAAUUAUCGGUAACAAAUGGUUGUGUGGUGAGAUGAUUCGUA